Amphiprion ocellaris (clown anemonefish) is the source of this 450-nucleotide long non-coding RNA. RefSeq lists it as uncharacterized. The record is from RefSeq and is a predicted model, not a curated record. Lineage: Eukaryota; Metazoa; Chordata; Actinopteri; Pomacentridae. The transcript has 3 exons.
UAAAAAUCAAAGUACGCAUGUACUACUUACCUCAGUAAGACCCAUUGUUUUCAGAUAUAUAUUCUGUCUGUUUUGUCUUGAGCUGAUUAGUUGACACUACAAAAAUUGAGGUUUAACAGGAAAAGCAAGAAAGCAAACAGGUUGAUAUGGUGAGACAGCACUGCUGGGUGGGCUCCUCUGCAGGACUGGAGGGCCCUCGGUUCAAGGCUAUCAGGUGGAGACUUCAGGGGCCAGAGGCACAGUUUCGGUGAGUGAGGCCUUUUCUUCUGCCCCUCUCCUAGCUGGUUUAAGGGUUGUAAUUAUCUUUUGCUGGGGGAGGCUGUAAAUUGGAUUAAAGUGGAGGGUCUCGGCUGAGUGGAUCACCCCCCCUACCUCAGCCCUCCACUUCCCCCGCCAUCUCACCACUUGGUGGGCCACACGCUGAUAAAGUGCGGAAAACCGGAUUUGGAU